RNAcentral lists this ribosomal RNA (497 nucleotides) under uncultured bacterium. RNAcentral describes it as "partial 16S ribosomal RNA". It matches the Rfam family "Bacterial small subunit ribosomal RNA", at positions 28 to 507 of the family's 1533-position model. The record is from RNAcentral.
GAUGAACGCUGGCGGCGUGCCUAAUACAUGCAAGUCGAGCGAACAGAUGAGGAGCUUGCUCCUCUGACGUUAGCGGCGGACGGGUGAGUAACACGUGGAUAACCUACCUAUAAGACUGGGAUAACUUCGGGAAACCGGAGCUAAUACCGGAUAAUAUAUUGAACCGCAUGGUUCAAUAGUGAAAGACGGUUUUGCUGUCACUUAUAGAUGGAUCCGCGCCGCAUUAGCUAGUUGGUAAGGUAACGGCUUACCAAGGCAACGAUGCGUAGCCGACCUGAGAGGUGGGCCGCCCACCCUGCACCAGAGCCCGGCCCCAGCCCCCCAGGGGAGGAGCCAGGGGGGAUCCUCCCAAAGUGGGCGAAGGCUGGACGCGGCACCGCCGGGGGGGGAUUAAGGUUUUUGGCAUCGAAAACCUUUUUUAUUGGGAAAAAACAAUUUUGAAAGAAACAUGCCCCUUCUUCACGUUCCCUAAUAGAAAACCCCCGCCCACCUACGUC